Long non-coding RNA from Sarcophilus harrisii (Tasmanian devil), 696 nucleotides. RefSeq lists it as uncharacterized. NCBI's taxonomy places the organism in Eukaryota, Metazoa, Chordata, Mammalia, Dasyuromorphia, Dasyuridae. The transcript is spliced from 2 exons. The record is from RefSeq and is a predicted model, not a curated record.
GCUGACACAUCACCAGUAGGAGGCAUUUCCUUCUCUUAUUGACUGUGCAUGUGACCUCAUAGACCCAAUAUAACCAGCAGGACCGAGAGAAAGUGCAGAGUGCAGGAGAAGUAGUGGGAGUGCAGGAUGUGAUCAUGUAUAAUAAAAACUUGUGCUCACAAGUUACUGUGUGCUUUGUUGAACAAUGAACUACUGUUUGACGAGGUAGUGGCCAGAAACGCCUGAAGACCUGGGAUAAGAUAUGCAAACUGAGGCCUAAAUUGCAAGACUUGGGAUGGAAAUGCCAAUCAUAUCCAGAGAAAACUAAAGACUGAAUAUGGAUACAAGCAUACUAUUUUAUUUUUUGUUGUUUUUCCCCACCCUUUUGGGUCUGAUUUUUCUUGUACAUAAAUAUGAAAGUAUAUUUAAAAGAACUGCACAUAUUUAAUCUCUUAUCAGAUUGCUUGCUAUCUUGGGGAGGGUAAAGGGAGAAAAUUUAGAAUAUAGUUUUAUAAAAAUUAAUGUUGGAAAGUAUCUUUACAUGUAUCUGGAAGAAACCCAAAGGCCUAGAAAAGUUAUGAAAAUCUCACCAGUAAUAAAUGGCAAAUGCAGAAUUCAAGUUCAGAUCUUCUAUCUCCAAGUCUAGCACUAAGCUGACACCAUUUCAUAUUGCAGUUUGAUUUAAUGGACUCCCCCAAAGAACCCAGAUUUCUGGAC